Molecule: long non-coding RNA, 11408 nt
Organism: Anolis carolinensis (green anole)
Lineage: Eukaryota; Metazoa; Chordata; Lepidosauria; Squamata; Anolidae
Exons: 3
Source: RefSeq, a predicted model, not a curated record
ACUGAAACCUCAGUGAAAACAAUACUACUUAUGUGGCAAUCUUGAUCCAAAUUGAAGAAAAUCACCUGAUGCAUUUUAUUUCCCACCUCCACUAUAUGAUAAAUAUCAUGACAUUUACAUUAGUAAAUAUGUUCUAAUGGUAUGCCUCCUUUUGGCAAGUUGGUGUUGAUCUACAUUAUCACUUGAUAAAUGCCAGGAAGACUAACAUCAUAAUCAAUAUCAUGUAUAAAUCCACAUUUGCUAUUAUACAUGUUAUGGUUUCCUCGGACUGGACUGGGAGGGUUUUAUUCUGGCAGGAAAAGGCACUCUUUUUAUUACUGCCUUUGGCUUGUUUCAUAAUGCGAAAUUAGCUCAGUAAAGUUAAUGUCAUGAUCAAAAUCAUUUUUUAUAACAUAUAUUGCAGUUGUAAUUCACAGAGAUCAUGUCGGAUGCAGGAUUAUAAAGUAAGUCCUGUGGAAUAAUCUAAUGAAGAUAAUGGCUAUAUUGCUGUCAUGUAAAGUUGAGAGUUUUCUUUGCCCAUAAAAUUGCAAGCAAAAGUGUGCUAAACAAAAGCCUAAUAAAUUGUUCACAUUGGCCUUGUGAAGAGAGAAUUACCAAAAACAAAAUCAGAUCUGGACAAGGAACAAAAGUAUGAUUGAUCCUUUGAUUCAAAGGAGCAACAACAAAAGCAAUGUGCUUGUUCCACAAUGUAUCUAAAUCCCUGUUGAAAUCCAGUGACAUCAAGAAUGCAUCAAUUGAAUUAUUGCACAUUGGUGCAUCACACAGUAAAUCUGAUCAGUUUAAACAGCAGUCUGAUCUUAAAAGAAACACUAUGCUUCUGCUCUAAUGCUUUUCUUGGAGGUCAUUUAAAAGGUUCAUAAUUUUUUUGUCAGAUCAUGGGUUGCAUGGAGACAAAUCCAAAUUUAACAUCAAUCUAAUUACUGGGAGUGGGGGAGGCAGGUAAGAAUAAAUAAUUUUGGAAAGGGGCAGAUUUUGUGGUCCCUGGGCAUUAUAGGGACCCAGAAAUGAAGUACUAGUUAAGAUAAUACCCUGUUUUCCCAAAAAUAAGAUAUACCCCAAAAAUAAGCCCUAGGAUUUUGGAGGAUGCUUGAAAUAUGUCCUGCUUCAAAAAUAAACCCUAGUUACUGUCUAUAGAAAAAGUCAAUUUGGAAAAAUAAGACAUCCACUGAAAAUAAGCCCUAAAACAUCUUUUGGAGCAAAAGUUAAUACAAGACCCUGUAUUUUUUGUGAAAUAGGGUUAUUUUUACAAAAUACAUAUAUUAAAAUACACAGAACAAUGAUGAAAAUGUAAUGGACACAAGACAUGAAUUUAAAAUUCAUGAUUAAAACUGGCAAGGGUUAGGUGUUAAAACCUGGACUCACCCUAAGUUGGCUCCUACCUAUCCCCAUUAUGUUUCUCCAAUUCCAGUGAGUAUUUCAGGUUAACUCGGGUUAAUCCUGCAUUACCUCACUUCAGUAAAAGUUGAGGGAUGUGCCAGAGUUUGCUUGACACUCCAGAGUACCCAAUGGCGUUAGGUUAGUGAGGCCAACAGGAUAAGAUUCAUUUCAGACUGUCCACUGUUUACGUGGGGCAUCACCACCAUUGCCAUUCCCUUGACCUCAUUGGUACAGGGGGAAGGAGAUAGAUCUACCCAGCUGGUCACAGAGCUCCAUGUGGGUUCCUGGCAAUUGUGAGCUGCUGACUGCAACCGAAGCACACUCAUCAUCAGGAAGAAAUUGAGGAUAUUGGCUCUGCACUCAAGUAAGAACAGAGGUAACAACAUGCAAAGAAGUGGCAUUCAGAGGAAUCUUGGGAAGACUGCCACCACUGAUCUCUCUACAUUCUGUGUGGUAAUAUUGUCUCAUUGUGUGUCAAGAUAGGAUUGGACCUUUAUUGAAAUGUAUGAGUUUGGGUCUCGCAGUAAAAUGAAAAUGUUAAAAGUAUUUGUUUGAGGGAAGAGUGAUCAUCUUCAUCAGUGCACUGAAAUCCCUCCAUCGCUGAUUACAUUAAAAAAGCAUGUUUUCUGAAAGUGAUUAUCCUUCAUGCCAUACUGAGGAACGGAUGUGCAUUUUUCCUUUAAUGCUACUGCAAUCCAAAAACAAGUUAAUUCCCAUCCACAAAGUUAUUAGCAUCAUCAUCUGAAUGGCUAUUGGGUUUUUGUGAAGUAGGAGUGGUUGUAUUAAGAGCAAAAUGGAAUAUUUGUCUUAUACUGCAUAAAGCUCUCAUUUGUAUCAAAGCUGCAGUCUGCACAUAUGGCAAGCAGACCUUAGCAGAUUUAGGCAGGUAGACAGUUUUUAUGAGUCUUUUACAUCUUUAGAGGUAUAUUACCUGGCCUCCCUUCAAAGCCUUUAGCAAAAUGCAUCUUGUUUGAGUUUGCUCAGGAAUGGCUUUUAUCUGCUUUUACUAGAAAUCUGUCUGAUCACUGACAGAUGCAAGGGACAACAUUUUAUGGCAGGGAAGUGUGAUAUGUGAAAAUUAUAUUUUGAUAACUGAUAAAGCUACACGUGACAACACAACAAAAUAAGACAUUCGCUUCACAUAAAACAUCAUUAAGUUUUAUAAUUGGAAUUGUAGUUUAACACAACCACUUCUAACAAUAGGUAAUCGGUUGCAGGGCUAAAAGAAAAAUCCCAACAGUUUUUCAAAUCAAACAUCAAUGAUUCAAUUUCUUUCCUUUUACCUUCACAGUAGGAAUGUUGUCUCUUAUGACAGAUCCAAAGGUUUUCAAGCCUCAGAAAGUCUAAGGAGUGCAGUAUGAAUUUUCAAAGUAAAAGAAAAUAAAAGUGUGUGUGUGAGAGAGAGGGGGGGGGAGGGAGGGGGGAGGGAGAGAAACCAUGAAAAUGUUAGAAAUACAAAGGCUGGAAUUUUCUUUAUUCACAUUCUAGUACUAUACCUAUUUCACGAUUCAGGGAUAGGAUAUCAGAAAGACCACCUAUGCGUGCACAUAUAAUUCUGCUCAUAUUUAUGGUGUUCUACAUCCUACCACCACUGACUACAUUAUUGAUGAUGUUCUGUAUCUCAGCUAUGGACUAUCCCUGCCUCCACUGAGCAAGAUUACCAAAUAUUAAGAAGGCAAGAGAAAUAAAUUGUUUUCUUUUGGGCAUUUAGCAGAUAGCAAUAUUGUUUUGUUUUGUGUUUUUUAAAAAAAUCUUCUGGUUUUCUUUGCAAAGAAAAAAUGAUAUUAUUGUAUUAUUAAAAAUUGCUUUAAAUUGUGCACUGCUUUAAGAUUAUUGGUCAGAAAAGGAUUAAAGGUAUAGUAUGUUAUAACAUGUGACAGAUUUUAUAUUUCUAGGCGCGAAGAUCACUGCCAGAUGCAGACUGCAGCCAGAAAAUCAGAAGAUGCUCUCUUCUUGGGAAGAUAGCAAUGGCCAACCUCGAUAAAAUAGUGAAAAGCAGAGACAUCACACUGGCAACAAAGGUCCGCAUAGUUAAAGCAAUGGUAUUCCCCAUAGUAACCUAUGGAUGCAAGAGUUGGGCCAUAAGGAAGGCUGAGCGAAGGAAGAUAGAUGCUUUUGAACUUUAGUCUUGAAGGAAAAUCCUGAGAGUGCCUUAGACUGCAAGAAGAUCCAACCAGUCCAUACUCCAGGAAAUAAUGCCCGGCUGCUCACUGGAGGGAAGGAUAUUAGAGGCAAAGAUGAAGUAUUUUGGCCACAUCAUGAGAAGACAGGAAAGCUUGGAAAAGAUCAUGAUGCUGGGGAAAAUGGAAGGAAAAAGGAAGAGGGGCCAACCAAGGGCAAGAUGGGUGGAUGGUAUCCUUGAAGUGACUGGCCUGACCUUGAAGGAACUGGGGGUUGGCGAUAGCCAACAGGAAGCUCUGGCAUGGACUGGUCCAUGAGGUCACAAAGAGCUGGAAACGACAAAUGUUAUAACAACUCAGAAAACAGAUUCAGUGUGGUGGAGGAGAUAAAGGCUCUUCAUGGAUCCAGGAGAUGGUCAACCCAUCUGCCACUGCAGAUCACAUCUAUCUAGGUGGUGUGAGGGCCAAUUCAGCCUGAUCAGAACAGGACCAGUCCUACUAGGAGAUACAUUGCAGCACAUAUGGAAUCAUUACAUGAGAAGGCAGCCGCCUUUUCAUGCCUGAAAUCUUCGAUUACGAAGGAGGCUCGGGAGGGUAGAAUCUUGGGCACUUUCAGUCAGCCUCAAGUUAUUUGAAAUCUGCAAGAAACAGCAUAAAAUAGGUAACUCGUUCAUAAAAGUUGCCCUUAGUUCAAUCCACUACUAUUAUCUGGUCUCUUAUUUACCUGGCUUGUCAGCAAGGAGUGCAGCUUUUGUGCAGAGAAAGUCCCAAUCUGCAAAUGAUAUUCAAAAAUUGUAUUUCAUGCAGCAGGGGAAAAAUCCUUCCACUGAAAACAAAAUAAGCACAAAAAAAAAACCCACAUCUCUAAGAAACAAUGUGCACAGAACUACUAAAUAGGCCCUUCUACAGUUAGCAUUAAAUAGCCAUGUGUAAAGUUUGUGUGUCUGAACAAGAGGAUUGGUAGCUUUUAGUUUACAUUGUUUCUGUGGAAAUCUGUUCCUGCCCCCUUUCAGCUGCUGUGUGAAUUUCAUCUAAGGUCAGAUAGAAUAGGAUGUCUGAGUAAGUUAGCAGAUGAAAUAAUCUUCCUGCUGAUCAAAGAGGCAAAACACUUUGACCUAUAAGUCUUGUCUUCACAACACCACUGAUAUUGAUCAGGAAAAAUAAAUGAUACACUUCUUAUGAAUUGUUAUGUUUCCUGUUAGAGAGUAGUAACCUUUUCUUCUGCUUCAGGUUUUCAUUUAUGCUCUGCUUCAUGAUUCCAUUUUUACUUAUUUGCUAUCACCAGGAGGGAAGACUUGCUUAUCAGCAUUAUCUGUGUCAAAGUUUCCAAGAGGAACCUACAAAUCAAAUGUUAAGGUGAGGAACCUUGAUCGUACUUGAAGAAAGGUUAAGAUAUAAAAUUUUAAGAAGAUUGAUUUUGGACUCUGCUGCUCUUCCAGUUAAUUAACUAAAGGCAGAAGCAGCUCAAAGAUCCACAUUAAUAUUAAUACUCUAUAAGAGAGGACUUCCUUCCAAUCAUCCACAGCUGAGAUGGAUCAAAGAGACUUUUCAUAAAAUGCACAAUUUGGCCUCCAGUGUUUUUGCUAGCAUUUUGGCGAGCACUUUUAGGAGAGCAAAGCAUUCCUUUCAGAUUGAUUAUUAUAAGAGUAGUACUUUUCCUUUGCCAUUAAUUAAUCAAGAUAUCCCCAGGUACAUUAAACAUGCUUUGUUAUACAUGUGGUAAUUUCACAUCUCUAAAAAUCUUCAGCUCUGACCACUAUAUAAAAUCACAGCCUCAAAGGCUAUCCCACCCCCAUUUUAUUUUUUGUAUACACACCCUAGGAAAAUAAGUUUUUCAGUUUGAAAAGAUACUGGAGCUCACUGGUUCAGAAUUCUAACUACCUCCUGCCAAAACUGCAAUUCCUGGGAAUCCCAUAGAAGGAAAAUGAGAGUAAGUGGAUUUAUAGUUUUAUAAUGAUGUAGUAUGAAGCUACAUCAAGUAAGUAUGCAUAGGUUUGCAACCUUACAUAUUUAACAUUCCAUCAUUUAUUUAUUUAUUGAAUUUAUAUCAUGCCUUUCUUCCAACAUAAAUUCUGAAAUUUAUAUUUGUUGUCAGAUUAGAAAUUAGAUGUGCAAAUGGUUUGCUUGAAGUUGCAUCUACAUAUACAGAGUUUGUUUUCUUAGGAAUGGAAGUCAGCUAAAACAGUUUUUGAUAUUAUUAUUAUUAUUAUUAUUAUUAUUAUUAUUAUUAUUAUUAUUAUUAUUAUUAUUAUUAAUUUUCCUGUACCUAAUUGAAAAGGUUGGAAAACCUCCAGCCUAAAGACUAGAUUAAUUGACAGAGCAUCUGUAUAUGGUCCACACAGACAGCAGUGUUCCUGUUCAAUCAGAUAGCAGGUCAGGGAACAGGGAUUCAGCCUGUGUUAGAUGAAGUUAGAUUCUCCUUGAAGGCACAGGUUCAUAAUUUUGAUGUACUCCUGGACUGAACUUUGAACCUGGAAGCCCAGGUUACCACAGUGGUCAGGAGUGCCUUCACACAUUUAAACCUUGUACACCAACUAUACCUGUUCUUUGAGUCAUCCAAACUGUUCGUGGUGGUACAUGCCUUAGUUACAUCAUGUUUGGAUCAUUGUAAUACACUGAACUUCAGGCUGUCUUUGAAGGAUGUUUGGAAAUUUUAGCUGAUCCAAGGAGCUGCAGCCAGAUUGUUAGCCAGGACUGGCUACAGGGAACACAGAACUCUUUUCAAAACAUUGUUGCUGACUGGCAGUUCGUUUUGGUUAUGAUUUAUAAAGCCCUAUUUAUAGGCUAUUUGACAGACCAUAUAAGUUAGCCUGGGCACCAUCAGAAGAGGUAUUUCACUUAAUUCUACAUAUCACUAUCACAAACACAUUUGCUCGCUCUGUGUGUGUGUGUGUGUGUGUGCGCGCGCGUGGUGGUAGUGGGAGUCCUGGUGGCAGCCCCUGGGUUCUGGACCUGUCAGGCCAAAACCUUUUUCAUUUAAACAGGCUUUUAAAACUGAAAUGUUCUUUUUGAUAAAUAUGCAAAGUUAAAAAUUUAAAAAAAUAUUUCUAAAAAGCUGAAUGAACUACAAUGUGCUGAAUUGUUUUUAACAGCUCUUUUGUUCAUUUUUAAAUUGUAUUUUUAUUAAAUAGUAUUAAUAAUUGUUUUAGUUUAAUCCUCUUUUAAUUUAUACCUUUCAUAUGUUUUAGCUGUAUUGUUUUUCAAGUUGUUUGACACUUUGUGUCCCAACCUAAGGAAAAUGUGGGGUACAAAUAACAACAACAAUGUACUGGAGGUAAUAACUUAUUGGCUGUUUUAUAAGCCAACAAAAUUGUUGCAUUGAAUUAAACUGUAUAUAGCACUAUAGGAAGCUGUUGCAUUGAUCUGAAUUGCUUCUGGUGUCUUGGAAGAGUAUAAACAUGCCUUCUCCCAUAAAAUCCACCUCACACACUUAGGCGCAUCACCCAGAGGACAUUUCAUUGGCUACCCCAAGACUAACUCCGACAGCUGAAAGAGCUGUCAACAUUUAAAAACCAUCUAAAAACCUAUCUCUUCCAGAAGGCCUACCCAGGCAGUUUUAAACAUUUUAAAUCUAGGUCUUAAUGAAGGACAUAAGGAGAAAUGAUCCCAUUGCCUAAAAUGGCAGGAAGGGGAGCCUGGGGAGCUCCCCCAUUACUACUAAUAGGCUGGAUCUAGCCGUAUUUUUCAGUUGCAGUCCAAAAACACCAUCCAGGCUGCACACCCGUUUUCUGUAGGUACAAGAAAACAGAUGGGAGUCCACCGGUAUUUGGCCAGCAGAAACAGAUCAAUAUUCAGCUAAAAUGCACAAGCCUGGUAUUUAUAGAUUAUUUACAAUGUUUAUGUGUUUUGAUAAUGCUGUAACCUGCCUUAAGCCAUGAAAAGAGGCAGGUAAAAAAUAAAAUAAUGAAGAUGAUGAUGAAUAUUAACUUGAGCUUACUCCAAACAAGACCUGCACAAAACUGAGCUAUGCCUAGUAUACCUCAUGAAAAAAUAUCAAUAUUUGCAAGGAUUAUAUCUAAUAUAUCUACUUUUUUGGAUUUAUUCUGUAUAUGUGUCCCCAUCCAUUGUAUGAAUGUUUACCCCACAGAUUUUCCAAAGCUGGAAUUAGGCUCAAUGCUAUUGUUAAUGCUCCUAACGAAAUAACACCACUACAAUAACACCCACCUCCUUCUCCUCCUCUCGUCUUCUCAUUCUCAUUUCCCCUCUUCUUUACACUAUUGCAAAACAUGAUUUGCAGAGGUGGAUUAUAAUGACCUUCUCACUGAUAGUUUCUUUAUUGAUCACAUCUCAAAUAUUCACAAGCUCUACUCUUAGACUCAUAGCUCAUUUUUAGAAAUUACGAAGAUGCAGGUGUGUUAUCCGUCCUUCCUUGUUUUUAAAUAUACUUUGAGGAAAUAACUCAAGAUCUGUACCUUAUAAAAUCAUACAUAAUAGACAUAAAGACUCCUAAUGUAUGAAAGCAUUAGCUUUUAUAAGAAAAACAUAUUUUCUCAGAUCUUUCAAAGGAGAUGCCUUAAGACCAAGGCUGUCAAAAGCCAUGAGUCUUUCUCAUUUUUCAGAAUCUUUUAGGAACUCUCACUGUGACUUUUUCCUCCUCCAUGGGAAUUCAAGGGUUAUUUUGUUUAUUUCCCAGGUACAGAUUUUGUAGAAUUUUCCUAAGUUUCACAUUCUCUACUUUUUUUGUUGGCCAAAAAUAUUUUUACAUAUUUUACAUGUAUGGAUUCUACUCAUGCGUAUUUUCAAAGUAUCUGUACGGUUUUGUUACCACACCCUCUCUCUAAAAUUGAAAGCUUGUAAUUGUAGGCACUUAUAAAGCAGAAAGUGUUGCAUCCUAUUUCCAAUUUUAAGGAUUACAGAACUGAUAUUUAUGUGUGGAAAAAUGAACCCAAUGAGUUUAUUUUCUCUUUCUACUCAGGACUUCUUCACUCAGUACACUGUUAUAUGUAAACCAGAGAUUUAGAAACAUAUUAGCAUAGAAAGAAUGGGCUUCAGUUCCUUUCCUGGCAUGCAUUUGACUACAUACCCAGAUUUACUUCCAGAGAGUGUUGAAUAAUCUAUUGACAGCAGGUUUAUCUGAUAUUAUUGAAUUGCAGCUGUCCGAUUUAAACUGAAUAUAAUCAACAAAAAUGUGACAAAUAUUUCUACCUUGUUCUUUUGAUUUUUGUACAUUUAUUUUUUAAUGAAAAGAUUUAUUUCCUGUACUAUAUUUCAAUAUCUCAAGCUGGUAAAAAGGUAAAGGUUUCCCCUGACGUUAAGUCCAGUCAUGCCUGACUCUGGGGGUUGGUGCUCAUCUCCAUUUCUAAGCCGAAGAGCCGGCGUUGUCCAUAGACACCUCCUAGGUCAUGUGGCCAGCAUGACUGCAUGGAGCGCCAUUACCUUCCCACUGGAGCGGUAUCUAUUGAUCAACUCACAUUGGCAUGUUUUCGAACUGCUAGGUUGGCAGAAGCUGGAGCUAACAGCGGGCGCUCACACAGCUCCCGGGGUUUGAACCUGGGACCUUUCGGUCUGCAACUUCAGCAGCUCAGUGCUUUAACCCACUUCGCCACCAGGACUCCAAGCUGGUACAAAAUAGAAUUAAAUUAAACAAUGUAAAAUGUAAAACAGUAAUAAUAAUUUGCACUCUAAAGUAUAAAACUACAUAACAAACCAAAAGAGGUUUAAACAGUUAAAACUGCAAUCAGGUGCAAAUUGGAUAAUAUUGCAAGAUCUCAAAGGCUUUAAUAUCAAACCAUUUUUUAAAAUGUGGUGCCAGAAUAAAAAAGAUGACACCUCCAGCAGACCACAUACAUAGGGAAAGGUACUCCUUCAGUAUCAAGGUCUCAAGCUGUUCAAAGCUUUAAACCACACCUUGAAUUCAAAUGAGAAGCAUGUGAGGGCCAAUACAAUUCCUUUAAGGCAGUGGUUCUCAACCUGUAGGUCACCAAGUAUUUUGGCCUUCAACUCCCAGAAAUCUCAGCCAGUUUACCAGCUGUUAGGAUUUCUGGGAGUUGAAGUCCAAAACAUCUGGGGACCCACAGGUUGAGAACCACUGCUUUAAGGCUAAAGUUAUAUGAUUUCUAUGCAAAGUUCUGGUCUGCCAUCUACCUGUGACAUAUUGAACUAGCAGCUGCUUCUGAGUUGCCCUCAAGACCAGCUCCAAAUCCAACAAAUUGCUGUAAUCCAAAUGUAAAGUUACAAGUGCACAAACUACUGUGGCAAAUGCUCUAAAGCUGUAUACCUAGCUACUCCCUCAGCCAGUGUGACACCCUACAGAGGACAGGUCAUUUACCUGAUUCUCAUGCAUGAAAGUCACUGCCUUCGGAGCCUCUGUCUUAUCUAGAGUCAGCUUCAGUCCUUUACAGCAACAAGGCACUGGUGAAUGGUUAGCAUAGCACUAGAAGCUUCUGACAAAAUGGGAAGGUAGAGCCAGUACCCCAAAACCAAAUCUCCCAGUGACCUCACAUAAUUGCUUUAUGUAGAGGGCUGAAUAGGAACUCCCCAGCGUUGUUUGGAAGUGGGCCCAGAUAUAGAAACUAAAACAUAGCAUCUCUUACUCCCAUCCCACAAAGUCAAGUAAGAUAUUUAAUUAAUGAUAUUUAUUUAUUCAUUGUAUCAGAAGUGAACUGAGGAAAUCAAUGAUAUAAAAAGCUGCUUAAAUAUCUAGGAAUAUCAACAGGGUUGCAUUCCUGCAGUUUUCCCCUUAAGUAGUUCAUCGGUUAGAAUAAUUAUGGCCAUUUCAGUUCCACACUCAAGCCUGAAACUAGACUGGGAUCCUCCAGAUAAUCUGAGGUUUUCCACAUGGAAAGAGAUAGUAGCAAUAGAAAGAAUGUUCUUAUAUACUUAUGGGUCAAGGCAGAGAGAUCUCAUUUGGAGAGAGUUUUAAGGAGUAAUACAGCUGGGUAUCUUCAGCUUCUUGAAUGUACCUAGCCUUCAAAUUCUAACUAUUUUAGGUAGUAUUUUCAUGUAAAAUUGAACAAAAUGGGAAUAAGGCUGACAAAUUAAAGAAAACAUAACCCAACAUAUGCAUGAAAGGAGAAAAUAUAUUUUCACAAGAUUUAUUAAAACAUUUAGACUAAAUAUAUAUUUGCAUGUACAUCAUGCAGUUAUUGCAGUUUAAUACCACUUCAGUUGUCAUGGCUCCAUCCUAUAGAAUCCUGAGACUUAGUUUAAUCAGGUAUUGAGAAAUUUCUGCUGGAAAGCUUUAGUUCAAAGUAGUUUUUCAGUAAGACAUGGUCCUCUUCAUGAUGUGGAUGUGGUGAAUCUGCUUGAGGAUCAUUCCAGAUUUUGAAUAACAAUGCCGGUAAGACUGUAGUGUUAAAAAUAUCUGCUCUGAACUUCAUUUGGCAGCUUGUCAUCUGUUAGCAUUGUUGGUUUCAAUUAAAAGCUGUCCAAGCAGCCUUGCAUCUUCUUGCCCAUUCGCCAUUUGUCAAAUUAUUUGACUGUACUUGUUGACCAAGAUAGAUAGAUAGAUAGAUAGAUAGAUAGAUAGAUAGAUAGAUAGAUAGAUAGAUAGAUAGAUACAGUCACUUCCUCAAUUUCAUUUCUGUUUCUUGGGGCUCCAUGAAAAACUUUUGCUUCAAAAAGGGCUCCAUGGCUGAAAAAGUUCGAGAACCCCUGCUUUAAAGUGAAGUUCAUGGUGUGGCUGCCAUUGCAAUGCAAGUAGAGCUCUCUAAGGAGCAUCUACAUAAGCCACAAAAUCAGUGCUGAUUUGGAGUUGGCUAUUCUGGAUCAGCAUUGCCAUGGUCUGCAUGGCCAGCCAUUGAGCUAGCUCAUAAGCUGGUGGGUAUCUGCACAGCAGGCUCCUGACAUCUGCAUGGCCCAAUGACACCAGAAGCAAUUUGCCACAGCUUAACAGCCACCCUUAACUUGCCUCCCCUAUUCUGGGUUGCCCAGUGGCUACUGGGCAUGAAAAUGGUGCUGAUCACUACUCAG